Molecule: ribosomal RNA, 382 nt
Filed under: uncultured bacterium
Lineage: Bacteria
Description: bacterial SSU rRNA
Rfam family: Bacterial small subunit ribosomal RNA
Source: RNAcentral
GAUGAACGCUAGCGACAGGCCUAACACAUGCAAGUCGAGGGGCAGCACAAGGAGCAAUCUGAGGUGGCGACCGGCGCACGGGUGAGUAACACGUAUGCAACCUGCCUGUAAGCGGGGGAUAACCCGUUGAAAGACGGACUAAUACCGCAUAAUACUGGAGAUCUGCAUGGAUAUUCAGUUAAACAUUUAUGGCUUACAGAUGGGCAUGCGCAUGAUUAGAUAGUUGGAGAGGUAACGGCUCCCCAAGUCAACGAUCAUUAGGGGUUCUGAGAGGAAGGUCCCCCACACUGGUACUGAGACACGGACCAGACUCCUACGGGAGGCAGCAGUGAGGAAUAUUGGUCAAUGGGCGAGAGCCUGAACCAGCCAAGUCGCGUGAGUG